This 491-nucleotide ribosomal RNA is filed under the name uncultured bacterium. Its description in RNAcentral is "bacterial SSU rRNA". It matches the Rfam family "Bacterial small subunit ribosomal RNA", at positions 28 to 526 of the family's 1533-position model. The record is from RNAcentral.
AACGAACGCUGGCGGCGCGCUUAACACAUGCAAGUCGAACGGGGUGUUGGGCUUCGGCCUGGCACCUAGUGGCGGACGGGUGAGUAACGCGUGGGAACCUGCCCUGGGCACCGGGACAACCGCGGGAAACUGCGGCUAAUACCGGAUGAUCCCCUGGAUCGAAGGUGAAGGGGGCAAAGAUCCAUCGCGAGAUGGGGGCGGCCUGGGAUGGGCCCGCGUCCGAUUAGCUGGUUGGUGGGGUAACGGCCUACCAAGGCAUCGAUCGGUAGCUGGUCUGAGAGGAUGAUCAGCCACACUGGGACUGAGACACGGCCCAGACUCCUACGGGAGGCAGCAGUGGGGAAUCUUGGACAAUGGGGGCAACCCUGAUCCAGCGACGCCGCGUGGGUGAUGAAGGCCUUCGGGUUGUAAAGCCCUUUCACCGGGGACGAUGAUGACGGUACCCGGAGAAGAAGCACCGGCUAACUCCGUGCCAGCAGCCGCAGUAACAC